RNAcentral lists this unclassified non-coding RNA (224 nucleotides) under Bombus terrestris (buff-tailed bumblebee). Its description in RNAcentral is "misc RNA ENSBTSG00005036005.1". The record is from RNAcentral. Lineage: Eukaryota; Metazoa; Arthropoda; Insecta; Hymenoptera; Apidae.
CUUCUACACGUUUCAACAAUACAUUCUGCACGUUUUGCUUGCGACGAAACAACGAAUGCGAAUGGUUCGUUGAAAUAAACGAAGCCUUGUUAUAAUACGUCGCUAUCAACUGUUACCAAGAUAAACGGUCCAUUGGGGAAGAAUGUUGUCUUACAUCAUCAAUUUAUUAUUAUUUUGCCAUUAUAUGCUUUGAAUAAUAAAAAUACCCCCGUGGCGUCCUGAGC